UGGGAAUCGAGAGCCGAUUCCUACUUGGAAUCGAUUUGGUUUCAAAUCUGAUCAUAUGAUCCAAAUUUAAUAUGCGCAAGGUUUGGUUUCCGUAGCGGCAGGCACUUGUUGUGUUGCAGCCAUGGAGCACAGUAAGCGGCGCUCUAGUGUGACUUUAUUUUACUUU
Molecule: long non-coding RNA, 166 nt
Organism: Etheostoma spectabile (orangethroat darter)
Lineage: Eukaryota; Metazoa; Chordata; Actinopteri; Perciformes; Percidae
Exons: 2
Source: RefSeq, a predicted model, not a curated record